UGAGCAAUCUGCCCUUCUCUUUGGAAUAAGCGUUGGAAACGACGUCUAAUGCCGAAUACGACCUCCUUUCGCAUGAUCGGAGGUGGAAAGCUCCGGCGGAGAAGGAUGAGCUCGCGGCCUAUCAGCUAGUUGGUGUGGGUAAUGGCCCACCAAGGCGACGACGGGUAGCCGGCCUGAGAGGGUGACCGGCCACACUGGGACUGAGACACGGCCCAGACUCCUACGGGAGNAGCG
Molecule: ribosomal RNA, 234 nt
Filed under: uncultured bacterium
Lineage: Bacteria
Description: partial 16S ribosomal RNA
Rfam family: Bacterial small subunit ribosomal RNA
Source: RNAcentral